This 53-nucleotide non-coding RNA is filed under the name unclassified sequences. The record is from RNAcentral.
AAUGUAAUGCAGCCAAUGGCCGGUUACAAGCCCGGGAAAAUGCAGAGUACAUU